AACCAAUCAGAACAAAGCAACAGUAGUAUAAAACCCCUAAGCAGGCUCUUCCACUUCCUCUUUCUUUGAUGAGGUCGAGCAGGAGAGCAAGGAAACCAACAAAUCCACCUUGUAGCAGACACAUCCAGAGAAACAAUCGUCAAGCCCAGAGAGAAAACAGAUUACACUGCAAGAAAACAGAAAACAUUGUGAAAGUAAACUGUCAAAGCAAGAUGUC
Molecule: non-coding RNA, 217 nt
Organism: Pelobates cultripes (western spadefoot toad)
Lineage: Eukaryota; Metazoa; Chordata; Amphibia; Anura; Pelobatidae
Source: the annotation of a GenBank genome assembly